This 428-nucleotide ribosomal RNA is filed under the name uncultured bacterium. RNAcentral's name for it is "partial 16S ribosomal RNA". It matches the Rfam family "Bacterial small subunit ribosomal RNA", at positions 354 to 796 of the family's 1533-position model. The record is from RNAcentral.
GUGGGGAAUAUUGGGCAAUGGGGGCAACCCUGACCCAGCGACGCCGCGUGAGGGAAGAAGGCUUUCGGGUUGUAAACUUCUUUUACCAGGGACGAAACAAAUGACGGUACCUGGUGAAUAAGCCACGGCUAACUACGUGCCAGCAGCCGCGGUAAUACGUAGGUGGCGAGCGUUAUCCGGAUUUAUUGGGUGUAAAGGGCGUGUAGGCGGGACAGCAAGUCAGAUGUGAAAACCAGAGGCUCAACCUCUGGCCUGCAUUUGAAACUGUUGUUCUUGAGUGUCGGAGAGGUAAUCGGAAUUCCGUGUGUAGCGGUGAAAUGCGAAGAUAUACGGAGGAACACCAGUGGCGAAGGCGGAUUACUGGACGAUAACUGACGCUGAGGCGCGAAAGCGUGGGGAGCAAACAGGAUUAGAAACCCUAGUAGUCC